CCCAGCAGCACGCACCUGCCAUGGCCUCCAGUGGGCCCCACACAACACUGUCCCUGGGGGGUGCAGAGCGGCUGGGAGGUGGCAAGCGGCCACCUCAGUGGCCAUGUCAGUGUGACCUCAGAUCUUUUCAUCAUGAUCCUAGAGAGAGCAAUUGUCCAAUCCUGGAGCAUGUUUGUGUUGCCGGCUGCAGAUCAGGGCUCUCCAUCUGCACAGAGCUAAACCAGCUCAGCCAGCCCUGAUGAGAAGACCAAGGGGAGAGAUAUUACGUCUCAGUUGGGACUACCCCCAUCCAUGCUUCUCACAAACACACGCACAAAAGUCAACUGUAUUUCCCAGCCUUCCUUGCAGAGAGCUGUGUCUGUGAGUCUGAGUUUCCUACAUAGGCAUUGUUGGAAGCCACAUGUUAACAAUGAUAAAGCCAAAACAUAGAAGAAAUCAGGUCCUUGAAUCACCACUUGGAGGAGAAUGGCCCACCAAUCCAGAACAUCUAGC
Molecule: non-coding RNA, 492 nt
Organism: Microcebus murinus (gray mouse lemur)
Lineage: Eukaryota; Metazoa; Chordata; Mammalia; Primates; Cheirogaleidae
Source: RefSeq, a predicted model, not a curated record